Molecule: long non-coding RNA, 1521 nt
Organism: Ipomoea nil (Japanese morning glory)
Lineage: Eukaryota; Viridiplantae; Streptophyta; Magnoliopsida; Solanales; Convolvulaceae
Exons: 3
Source: RefSeq, a predicted model, not a curated record
AACUUGCAAACUUCUUCCUAACAAACCAUCUCCCAGGUUGCUUGUUUAGUAAUAUCAAGAUCGAAAAAAAUGGUGAUGAUGGGGCUGGAGAGGCUGGUGGUGAGCCUGAAGACGAAGCUGCGGCGGAGCAUGAUGAAGACCAAGAACAAUUCUUCAUCGUACGACAAGAUCGAGAAGAGCGACAGCAUGCGAGUUGAAAUACGCAGCAAAAAAGCCCAGAAGCUCAUCCAAGAAACUCUUAAAAUUGCAGAUUCGCCGCAAACCAGAAGCUUCCCUUUCUAGAUUCACUACUGUACUGUACUACUCUUAUCUUAAGUCUUAAAAACAUACAUAUUAAUGCUACCAUGCUACUAUAUAUAUAUAUACAUCUUUCAAUCAAAACUUCUCUUCUUCAUCCCCUCCCUCCCUCUCUUCCUCCAUGCCUCUCUCUCUCAACAUAUAGAUACACAUGUGUGUGUGUAUAAAUGAUCAUAAACACCUGGUGUUUAGUUGGUCUGGUAGUUAUCUCGGUAACCAUAAGAUUCCAUGUUCCUUCUUAUAGAAGUUCUUGUUUUUUUCACCUUGAAUAUAAGUUUUAUAGCAAUUGUGUGAUUUCUUGUAAAUAAAAGAAACGUCUGGUGCAUGUUUAGUGGUCCAGGGAAUUAAUUGCUGGAGCUUCAAGAAAGAAACAAUACAGGAAAAUGAGGUUUGUGGCGAUUAAGAAGAUGACGAAUCAGCUGCUGUAUUAUAUUAAUGCUCAGUUUAGCUUUUAUUAUUACCUCUUUCUUUAAUCAUAAACAGCUUAUUGCGUUCAUAGUCAUUCUUUGUCUUUUCCUCUUCUUUCCAAGGCAUUGUAAAUCUUAAGAACAGGUAGGGUAAAUAGACGUCAUCACUUUUUUAUGCACUCUAAUCUGCAUUAUUGAGAUGAAAAAUAUACCCACAUGUUCAGCUCGGUUAGUCACAAGGUGAAGUUUGGAAACAAUGGCCUAAGAUCGAGCCAACGGUAAUGUAGGCACAACCUCUCAAAGUGAGGGUGCACAGUGAGUAAAGGUUUGGACUUGUGUUCAGCUAUUCAUCCUAAAUGCUUCGGGCCGGGACGUGAGGGACCCUUGGGUCAAAAGGUUGAACCCAACCCUAAGGGUACCCUACAGAGCAUCUGGGAUGAUGUAGGUUGAACCCCAACCCUAAGGGUCACUGAACAUGAAUCAUAGAGGUUAGACCUACACUGUCGCUGGUGAGACUUGAUCCCUUAUUUCUAAUUUUCACCUCUAUAACCAGUUGAACUGCUCAUGCAGACAAUAUUCCUUAAAAUCAUGAUUUUACAUUUGAAUAUCGUAUGUUAUUUGUAUUUUUUAAAAAAAUAUUUUUACUCAAUUGGUGUAUAGCAAUCAAUAACAUGUAACGUGAAUCUAACUUAUCAGUUCUAGCUAAUCAUGUGACUAAUAUUUGUCUGAAAGGCAAUUACUAAUUGUGCCACUUAAGGACGCCGGAAACGACAAAUGCUACAGAUACCACGUAAUUAUCCAGAGAUAUAUGUUUGGA